This 253-nucleotide ribosomal RNA is filed under the name uncultured prokaryote. Its description in RNAcentral is "partial 16S ribosomal RNA". It matches the Rfam family "Bacterial small subunit ribosomal RNA", at positions 524 to 776 of the family's 1533-position model. The record is from RNAcentral.
UACGUAGGGAGCAAGCGUUGUCCGGAAUCAUUGGGCGUAAAGCGCGCGUAGGCGGCCCUGUAAGUCCGCUCUGAAAGUCAAAGGCUCAACCUUUGAAAGCGGGUGGAUACUGCGGGGCUAGAGUCCGGAAGAGGCGAGUGGAACUCCUGGUGUAGCGGUGGAAUGCGCAGAUAUCAGGAAGAACACCGACGGCGAAGGCAGCUCGCUGGGACGGUACUGACGCUGAGGCGCGAAAGCGUGGGGAGCGAACAGG